Molecule: ribosomal RNA, 589 nt
Filed under: uncultured bacterium
Lineage: Bacteria
Description: bacterial SSU rRNA
Rfam family: Bacterial small subunit ribosomal RNA
Source: RNAcentral
UCCUACGGGAGGCAGCAGUAGGGAAUCUUCCGCAAUGGACGAAAGUCUGACGGAGCAACGCCGCGUGAGUGAUGAAGGUUUUCGGAUCGUAAAACUCUGUUGUUAGGGAAGAACAAGUUGGGUAGUAACUGACCCAACCUUGACGGUACCUAACCAGAAAGCCACGGCUAACUACGUGCCAGCAGCCGCGGUAAUACGUAGGUGGCAAGCGUUGUCCGGAAUUAUUGGGCGUAAAGCGCUCGCAGGCGGUCUUUUAAGUCUGAUGUGAAAGCCCACGGCUUAACCGUGGAGGGUCAUUGGAAACUGGAGGACUUGAGUACAGAAGAGGAGAGUGGAAUUCCACGUGUAGCGGUGAAAUGCGUAGAGAUGUGGAGGAACACCAGUGGCGAAGGCGACUCUCUGGUCUGUAACUGACACUGAGGCGCGAAAGCGUGGGGAGCAAACAGGAUUAGAUACCCUGGUAGUCCACGCCGUAAACGAUGAGUGCUAAGUGUUAGAGGGUUUCCGCCCUUUAGUGCUGAAGUUAACGCAUUAAGCACUCCGCCUGGGGAGUACGGCCGCAAGGCUGAAACUCAAAUGAAUUGACGGA